Molecule: ribosomal RNA, 262 nt
Filed under: Bacillus cereus
Lineage: Bacteria; Bacillati; Bacillota; Bacilli; Caryophanales; Bacillaceae
Description: partial 23S ribosomal RNA
Rfam family: Bacterial large subunit ribosomal RNA
Source: RNAcentral
GCGGAGAAAUUCCAAACGAACUUGGAGAUAGCUGGUUCUCUCCGAAAUAGCUUUAGGGCUAGCCUCGGAAUUGAGAAUGAUGGAGGUAGAGCACUGUUUGGACUAGGGGCCCAUCUCGGGUUACCGAAUUCAGAUAAACUCCGAAUGCCAUUCAUUCAUAUCCGGGAGUCAGACUGUGAGUGAUAAGAUCCAUAGUCGAAAGGGAAACAGCCCAGACCACCAGCUAAGGUCCCAAAAUAUAUGUUAAGUGGAAAAGGAUGUG